UGGGGAAUAUUGGACAAUGGGCGAAAGCCUGAUCCAGCCAUGCCGCGUGUGCGAAGAAGGUCUUCGGAUUGUAAAGCACUUUAAGUUGGGAGGAAGGGCAGUAACCUAAUACGUUUCUGUCUUGAUGUUACCGACAGAAUAAGCACCGGCUAACUCUGUGCCAGCAGCCGCGGUAAUACAGAGGGUUCAAGCGUUAAUCGGAAUUACUGGGCGUAAAGCGCGCGUAGGUGGUUUGUUAAGUUGGAUGUGAAAGCCCCGGGCUCAACCUGGGAACUGCAUCCAAAACUGGCAAGCUAGAGUACGGUAGAGGGUGGUGGAAUUUCCUGUGUAGCGGUGAAAUGCGUAGAUAUAGGAAGGAACACCAGUGGCGAAGGCGACCACCUGGACUGAUACUGACACUGAGGUGCGAAAGCGUGGGGAGCAAACAGGAUUAGAUACCCACGUAGUCCCUGAGCGGGCUGGCAAGGCGCAU
RNAcentral lists this ribosomal RNA (472 nucleotides) under uncultured bacterium. RNAcentral's name for it is "bacterial SSU rRNA". It matches the Rfam family "Bacterial small subunit ribosomal RNA", at positions 355 to 825 of the family's 1533-position model. The record is from RNAcentral.